RNAcentral lists this ribosomal RNA (450 nucleotides) under uncultured bacterium. RNAcentral's name for it is "partial 16S ribosomal RNA". It matches the Rfam family "Bacterial small subunit ribosomal RNA", at positions 354 to 796 of the family's 1533-position model. The record is from RNAcentral.
GUGGGGAAUAUUGGACAAUGGGCGAAAGCCUGAUCCAGCCAUGCCGCGUGUGUGAAGAAGGUCUUCGGAUUGUAAAGCACUUUAAGUUGGGAGGAAGGGCAGUAAGUUAAUACCUUGCUGUUUUGACGUUACCGACAGAAUAAGCACCGGCUAACUUCGUGCCAGCAGCCGCGGUAAUACGAAGGGUGCAAGCGUUAAUCGGAAUUACUGGGCGUAAAGCGCGCGUAGGUGGUUUUGUAAGUUGGAGGUGAAAUCCCCGGGCUCAACCUGGAAACUGCCUCCAAAACUGCAUGACUAGAGUACGGUAGAGGGUAGUGGAAUUUCCUGUGUAGCGGUGAAAUGCGUAGAUAUAGGAAGGAACACCAGUGGCGAAUGCGACUACCUGGACUGAUACUGACACUGAGGUGCGAAAGCGUGGGGAGCAAACAGGAUUAGAUACCCCUGUAGUCC